This is a long non-coding RNA of Mus musculus (house mouse), 560 nucleotides long. RefSeq annotates it as predicted gene, 31205. Lineage: Eukaryota; Metazoa; Chordata; Mammalia; Rodentia; Muridae. The record is from RefSeq and is marked validated. The transcript has 4 exons.
AAGAUCUAUGUAAUAACCACAUGAGUUGAUGUGCCAAUUUUAUGAGGGUCCAACUCCUACCUGAAGAACUAUGAGCAAUCAGUAUACUCCUAAAAGAGGGAUAGCAAAUUUUUCUCCAGAGAUGAACUAUAUAGGUUAUUCACUUCCAAUGGUUAGUUCUAUACUUAUGGCAUAAGUGCUGGAGAUGAGGGCACUGGAAGCCCUGCCCAAGUGUGGUGCGUGAGAACGUUAAUAGACCUUCUCUUAGACAAACCACUGUUUGCAAAGCCUGUUUUGGGAUGCUGAGCAUGCUGUGGAUGGUGGGAGAAGAAAUGACAUCUGUCGUGUUCUGUGAGAGCUGCAGUAUGUAGAACAGGGCACCCAAAGGAUCUGCAACCAUGCAAUGAUUUAAAAAAAAUAGUGCAGCGACUCCACAGCAUGAUGCAAAAGCACAGAAAAUGUAGAAGAAGAUGCAGCCCAAACAUUGCCUCUGAUAAUUGGUCAUCUACAUCAUUGUGUAACCUAGAGGUCAAAACGGCUUUGGCAAAGCUCUGUUUUCAAAAAUAUUUACAUAUAAUUCG